GGUUCCAUAGUGUAGUGGUUAGCACGUCUGCUUUACACACAAAAGGCCCUGGGUUUGCGCCCCAAUGGAGCAA
This 73-nucleotide transfer RNA is filed under the name Pteropus alecto (black flying fox). It matches the Rfam family "tRNA". Rfam says of the family: Transfer RNA (tRNA) molecules are approximately 80 nucleotides in length. Their secondary structure includes four short double-helical elements and three loops (D, anti-codon, and T loops). Lineage: Eukaryota; Metazoa; Chordata; Mammalia; Chiroptera; Pteropodidae. The record is from Rfam by way of RNAcentral.